This 465-nucleotide ribosomal RNA is filed under the name uncultured bacterium. RNAcentral describes it as "partial 16S ribosomal RNA". It matches the Rfam family "Bacterial small subunit ribosomal RNA", at positions 28 to 507 of the family's 1533-position model. The record is from RNAcentral.
GACGAACGCUGGCGGCGUGCUUAACACAUGCAAGUCGAACGGAAAGGCCCUGCUUGCAGGGUACUCGAGUGGCGAACGGGUGAGUAACACGUGGGUGAUCUGCCCUGCACUUCGGGAUAAGCCUGGGAAACUGGGUCUAAUACCGGAUAGGAGCCAUUUUUAGUGUGAUGGUUGGAAAGUUUUUUCGGUGUAGGAUGAGCUCGCGGCCUAUCAGCUUGUUGGUGGGGUAAUGGCCUACCAAGGCGGCGACGGGUAGCCGGCCUGAGAGGGUGGACGGCCACAUUGGGACUGAGAUACGGCCCAGACUCCUACGGGAGGCAGCAGUGGGGAAUAUUGCACAAGGGGCGCAAGCCUGAUGCAGCGACGCCGCGGGGGGGAUGACGGCCUUCGGGUUGUAAACUCCGUUCGCUAGGGACGAAGCUUUUUGUGACGGUACCUAGAUAAGAAGCACCGGCUAACUACGUG